ACCCCGAUUAAAAUGAUUGAUAUAGUUGACGAAAAUACGUGCGUUGACGCGUAUAGUAGAAAAAGCCUUGUAUUAUAAUGCGGGCGAUUAUUAAAGUUGACGUUACUAACUUUUGUGAAUGUUUUAAUUGAAGGACACUCGCGUUUGAAGACGACGAGAGUCAAACGAAUUGUGGAUAUAAUGAUGGAACGGUCCGAGAUAUGGCAAGGAGAGCAUAAUCAUCAAGGACCUAAAUCGCGUAACGAUUGCAAAUAAGUAACGGCAAGAAAGCCCUUUAAGGCAAGCAAUAUCAGUGUGUGUGUGUGCGCAGGAACGAUCAGAAGAACAGGGGGUUCUUUCAAAACCCUAAAGCACAUGAAAUCCAGCAAAAUCAAGGAGAAAUCGAGCAAAGAAAUUAGGGCUUUAACUAAAAUCGUGAUCACCAAGCUAAGGGGAUCGGAAGUUUGACGCCUAACAAGCUAGGUGGAAGCUUGUGGAUGAAGCGGGUCAAACGGAGCGCGUACGGAAAGAAAGGCGUGGCAUGGAUGCAAGGUAAGUAUAGCUUACACUAGUCUUAUAUGUUAGGAUAUUCUCUUAUCGUAUUAGUUAUGAAUGAGAUAAAUACUUAAUUGAGGUAUGAUGUUCCGGCGUGUAAACGUACGGAACAAAGUAGUCAAUCAUGACAAGAAACCAUGUGGAUGGUUAAAAGGAGUUAAAUCGGUAAAUUGGUCAUGCGUUGACCAUAACUAUUGGUUUUGAAAGACACAGUAAAACAUAAACCAUGAUAGGCUAAAAAGUGUUAAGAAAUGAUUAAUAAGUGAAAUGACCGCACGAUGUAAACCGGAGCGAGUCAUGUAGAUGAGAUGGUAAUAAAUAUCAUCUCGUCAACAUAUUCGGUCACUUAGACCAAAUGGGUUAAAAGGUGAAGAUAUCACCCUUUGACAAUAACGACUAAUGAUUUUUGUCGAGUUAUAUUAUUUCAGGUGUAAAUGUCAAAUGGGUAUUAGCAACGCUAUGAAUUAGCGGUUAUAAAAGCAAGGUAUUAAAAACGGGUCAAUAUAUUGAUCUGCGCCAGGUAUGUGAAAAAGGGUAACCCUCAUUUAGAACAUGUGGUUCAAAGAGUGUUAAAAGUAGUCAAGGUGAACAUUUGGUUACUUGAUAAGUAAACCAAAUGUUUUAGGUAAGGAACAUUGUAUUUGGAAAGCUUAAUGACUUUUCAAAUAAAAUCAUAGGUUAAAAGAGGGAUUACGGGUCAAAAUAAGCAUACGAGUGAAAACGGGUUUAAAUUGUGUAAUAAACCUGUGAUUAUAACCUAAUAUGGUAAAUAACCUUAAUUUGAAGUAGUGUACGUGAUAUAAAGGUUAAACAAGUAUGUUUGUUUGAUAAACGUAUAAACGGGUCAAAAUUUUGGUAAAAGAGUAAUAAGCCGAAGACUUAAAAGUCUUAAAUUUUAUUAAUUCGGAUGUUGGAUUUUAACUCCAUAUGAUGGAAGAUUAAAUUACAAUCAUGUAGGAAGAAACGGUAGAUCAAACGGAUAAGCGGUUUGAAAGAUACGAAAGUUUUCGUGUCGAAUAACGGCAAAAAUAGAGAAGCUGGAUGCAGAGUCCACCGUAAUUUACGGUCCCACCGUAAAUUACGGUGGAGAUGAAUUGGUUACGGUGCUAAUUGUCUGUUGUACGGUAGAAGAAUAGAAACCCAGGGGCCACCGUAAUUUACGGUCCCACCGUAAAUUACGGUGGAGAUUAUUUUUUUUAUAUAUAUAUUUUGUUUUCAUUUGAAAAUCAAUUGUUUCCCGGACAUCGUUCGGACAUGAUUUAAACCCCGUAUGACUAAAGCAUUUCAUGUUUAUGAAAUGUAGGUACACCUUGGACGCCGGAAGACGAUCAAGCUCAGCGAAGAACCGAACACGAUAAUGAUACACGCUUCCGCACUUUGCUACGUUGUA
Helianthus annuus (common sunflower) is the source of this 1924-nucleotide long non-coding RNA. RefSeq lists it as uncharacterized. The record is from RefSeq and is a predicted model, not a curated record. The transcript is spliced from 3 exons. Lineage: Eukaryota; Viridiplantae; Streptophyta; Magnoliopsida; Asterales; Asteraceae.